AUGCAACACACUUGACAAUGUUAAGAUGCAGAUUCUAUUUCAUUGUUCUAGAGUGGAGACUAAGAUUCUGCAUUUCUAACAUACUCCCAGGUGAAGUGGAU
This 101-nucleotide microRNA precursor is filed under the name Marmota monax (woodchuck). Lineage: Eukaryota; Metazoa; Chordata; Mammalia; Rodentia; Sciuridae. The record is from RNAcentral.